RNAcentral lists this long non-coding RNA (5737 nucleotides) under Cricetulus griseus (Chinese hamster). RNAcentral's name for it is "lncRNA (ENSCGRG00015034710.1)". Lineage: Eukaryota; Metazoa; Chordata; Mammalia; Rodentia; Cricetidae. The record is from RNAcentral.
GUUUGCUUCUUUUUGCUCUAAAGCUUUCAGUUGUUCUGUCAGUUCUCUAGUGUGACUAUACUCCAGUUUCUUCAUGUGGGCACUUAGUGCUGUGAACUUUCAGAGUGCCCCAUAAGUUUGGGUAUGUUGUGUCUACAUUCUCAUUAUAUUCUAGAAAAUCUUUAAUUUCUAUUUUUAUUUAUUCCUCAGUCCAGGAAUGGUGAAAUAGGUGUUAUUCAAUUUCCAUGAAUUUGUAGGUUUUCUGCAAUUUGUAUUGCUGUUGAAUUCUAACUUUAAAGACUGGUGAUCUGAUAAGAUACAGGGCAUUAUUUCAAUUCUUUUGUAUCUGUGGAGGUUUGCUUUGUUGCCAACUAUGUGAUCAAUUUUAGAGAAGGUUCCAUGUGGCACUGAGAAGAAGAUAUAUUCUUUUGUGUUUGGAUGGAAUGUUCUAUAGAUAUCUGUUAAACCAUGUUGAGUCAUAACUUCUGUUAGCUCCUUUGUUUCUUUGUUAAGUUUCUGCCUGGUGGUCCUGUCUAGUGGUGAAAGUGCAGUGUUGAAGUCUCCUACUAUAAGUGUGUGUGGUUUUAUGUGUGGUUUGAGCUUUAGUAAUAUUUCUUUUACAAAUGUGGGUGCCUUAGUAUUUGGGGCAUAGAUGUUCAGGAUUGAGAUUUCAUCUUGAGGGAAUUUUCCUGUGAUGAGUAUGAAUUACCCUUCUCCAUCUCUUUUGAUUGAUUUUAUUUUGAAGUCUAAUUUGUUAGAUAUUAGGAUUGCUAUACCAACUUGUUUUUUGGGCCCAUUUGAUUGGAAAAUCUUUUCCCAACCCUUUACUCUGAGGUAAUGUCUGUCUUUGUUGUUUAGGUGUGUUUCUUGUAUACAGCAGAAUAAUGGAUUCUGUCUUUGUAUCCAUUCUGUUAGCCUGUAUCUUUUUAUAGGCAGGUUAAGACCAUUUACAUUGAGGGAUAUUAAUGUCUAUUGAUUGUUGGUUCUUGUUUGUUUUGGAUUUAUUGUUGGUGGGUUCAUUGUUUGUGGAUUUUGCCCUCCUGUUUCUUUUCAUGUUUGGUAAAAUUGGAUUGUCUAUUGCCUAUGUUUUUGUGAGUGUAGUUUUCUUCAUUGGUUUGGAGUUUUCUUUCCAGAACUUUCUGCAGUGCUGGAUUUGUGGCUAUGUAUUUUUUAAGUCUGGUUUUGUCAUAGAAUAUAUUGUUUUCUCCAUCUUUAGUGAUUGAAAGUUUUUCUGGGUACAACAGUAGUCUGGGUUGGCAUCCAUGCUCCCUUAGUGUUUGUAGGAUAUCUCUCCAGGUCCUUCUGGCUUUCAAAGUUUCCAUUGAGAAUUCGGGAGUGAUUCUGAUCGGUCUGCCUUUAUAUGUUACUUGCCCUUUUUCCUUUGCUGCUCUUAAUAUUUUCUCCUUAUUCUGUAGGUUUUGUGUUUUGAUUAUUAUGUGUCGAUGGGACUUAUUUUUGUGGUCCAGUCUGUUUGGUGUUCUGUAAGCUUCUUGUACUUUCAUAGGCAUUAUACUUUUGUAGGUUGGGGAAGUUUUCUUCUAUUAUUUUGUUGAAUUUUUUCUGUACCUUUGAGCUGUAUUUCUUCACCUUCUUCUAUAUCUAAUUAUUCCUAGCUUUGGCCUUUUCAUGGUGUCCAAUAUGUCCUGGAUAUUUUUGUUAGAGAUUUCUUGGACUUGAGAUUUUCUUUGGUCAAUGACUGUAUAUCCUCUAGAGAGUCUUCAAUAAAUGAGAUUCUCUCUUCCAUCUCUUGAAUUCUAUUAGUUAUACUCACAUCUUUAGUUCCAGCCUUUCUAUUUCCAGCAUCACCUCAUUCUGUGUUUUCUUUAUUGUUUCUAUUUCAGCUUUCAUGCCUUGAACUGUUUCGAAUGCUUCCCUCACUUGCUUGUUUUUUCUUGGCUUUCUUUAGAUUCUUUAAGAGAUUUGUUUAUUUUUUGAAAUUUUGGUUUGUCUUUUCCUCUACUUCAUGCAAUUUUUUGCUUGUUUUCUCUUCCAUUUGUUUAAGGGAUUUUCUUGUUUCCUCUUAAAAGUCUCUAUCAUCUUCCUAAGAUAAUUUUUGAGGUCCAUCUCUUCUUCAUCUUCUGUGUUGGGCUAUUCAGAUCUUCCUGGUGUGGAUUCCCAGAUUCUGGUGGUGUCAUAUUGGUAUUUCUGUUUUUGAGUGUGUUCUUAUUCAGUCUUCUUCCCCUGUCUUCUUCCAGUGAGUGCAGGUGGGGUCUCUCUAUCUCCUCUUGUCAUCCAGUUGUCUGUGUGGGCCAAGACUUCAGUGUCUGCAGCUCUGGAUGGUCUUGCCUCUCCUGGUAGUCUCUUCACUCAGGAAUGGUCAGGCUGGCAGCAGAAAGGGGAAGGAAGUGUGAGGUGUUUCCAGACUCAGGGAGCUUCUCCCUGCCUGGGUGUGUCCACUCUAAACUGGUGCAGGCCCAGAGAGAUCCAGGGUGAAUGGGAACUUUGGUAGGAAUAGGACAUGAGCAGAGGGUACACUCACCUUGGUAGGGGUCAUGCCAGUGGACCUAGCCCUUUCUUAAUUAUUAACCCAUUUCUAUUAAUCUAAGUAUUUCCAUAUGGUCUUAUCUUACCAGAGAAGGGUCUACAUGGUGUCUCUCCUCAGCCUCUCUCUCCUCUCCCCCAGAAUUCUCCUGGUCUGGUAGCGCUGCCUUUACUCCCUGGCUAUUGGCCAGACAGUGUUUUAUUCAUGAACCAAUAAGAGAAACAUAUAUAACAGAAGGACAUCCCCAUCAGACUUUCAUGUUUAUUCACCUGAAACUUAUUGAUCAAUACAGAAUUCCUGACCAGCACACAAGUUUAAGAAGCAGAAGAAACACAAAGCUUUACAGAAUUUUGACUUUAUGAUCAUUUUAAACAACAUUGCAUCCAAUAUUUCAUUUAAAACUAGAUAUCUCUCCCUUCUCAUAGAACUAUAAGGCAUGAAGCAUAGUUACAUUGGUAAUGGAUUUCUGGGUGUCUGUCACACCUCUGUGGUAUAACCUGCAAAUAGUUCACAGAGGCAUGUGGCCAAGAGGGAGCAUCACUCUCCCAGAGCUCUGUCUCAAGAGUGGGAAGAGAAGCAGCCAGGAGACAGUGAGCAGCAGGACCAUGAGUGCUUCCAUGGAGACCCUUCUGACUGACACAGCUAUGAUUGGUAAUGUAGCACAGAGUUCUAUCCUGUGCCUGCAGAAUCAACAUAUUGCACUUUUGGAUAUCAGUAUUCAAUCAGUUUGUCACUGUCUAAUUUGUCUUUUAAGUAGACUUUAACACAGUCCCAGUGAUAAUACAAAAAAGUCAAAUAGUCUAAUUAAAAAAUCAAAGAAAGGGGUGUUUUGUUUAACACUAUCUGGAAUUCAUCAAUCAGUUCAAUAAUAAUGUAAACUAAAACAAAGAAGAAUAUAAAAUAUAAAAUAUAGAGAGAAAAUAUUAAGCACAAAUCACCUUGAAAUUCCACAUAGAUUGACAGACAAAUCAUUAGCUAUAAUUAGGAAAAUAAAUAAGAAUAGUUAAACUAAAUUCAACAUCAUGAUUAAAACAUAAAAUCAUAAUAAUUUACCCCAUUAUGUAAAUGUCCCACAUUUUCUUUAUCCAUUCUUCAGUUGGGGGGCAUCUAGGUUGCUUCCAGGUUCUGGCUAUUACAUAUAAUAAUGCUAUUACACAUAAUACAUAGUUGAACAGAUAUCAUUGCUGUAUGAAUGUGCAUCCUUUGGGUACAUGCCUAAGAGUGGAACUGUUGGAUCUUGAGGUAGACUGAUUCCCAAUUUCCUGAGGAACCGUCAUACUGAUUUCCAAAGUGGCUGUACAAGUUUGCACUCCCACCAGCAGUGGAGCAGUGUUCCCCUUUCUCCACAUCCUCUCUAUCAUAAACUGAUAUUGAUGUUUUUUAGUUUACUCAGCAGGAAAAUACAAUGGAACCUUGAAUUCUCGGGCAAAUGGAUGGAACUAGAAGAAACCAUCCUGAGUGAGGGACUCAUCCAGUAGCUGAUGGAAACAAAAGCAGAGACCCACAGUAAAACACUGAGCCAAAUUACUGGAUCCAGUUUUAGAGAGGGAGGAGUGAUGAGCAAAGAGGUCAAGACAAAGACGGUUAAAUCAACAGAAACAGCUGACCUGAACAAGGAGGAGCUCAUGGAUCCCAGACUUACAGCUUGGAAACCAGUAGAGGAUGGAACCAGGCCUUCUGCAUGUGUGUGUCAGUAAGGGGGUCUGGGAAGUCUAUGGGGUCCCUGGUAAUGGAACAGCAUUUAUACCUAGUGUACGAACAGAUAUUGGGAGCCCAUUCCACAUAAAGGGAUAUUCUCUCAGCCUUGACACACAGGGGAGGGCCUAGGCCUUGCUCCAAAUGAUGUGAUAGACUUUAAUAAUUCCCAUAGAAGGCCUCACCCUUUCUAUGGAGCAGAAGAGGGAUGGGAUGGAAGCCGGUGUGGGGCAUGAGAGAAUGGGAGGGAGAAGGAACUGGAAUUUAUAUAUAAAGUAGGGUUAUUAUAAUUUAAAUUAAAAAGGGAAAAAAGAAAAACACAAUCAUUUUAAUAAGCCAGAUCAAAAGAAUGAUAUAAAUUCUAGAAAACAAUAACCAGAGAAAACUCAUUAUUCAGUAAAAUUUUAAGAAAAUAUUUACAAGCCAUGACAGUGAAAAGGAAUACUUUGGGGGUGGGGAAACAAAGCCUAAAUUUCUAAGUGAUAUAAUCUCUUGAUGAGUUGAGGAAUUCAUGUUGUAAACCCCUUCCAAUCAAUUUGAAGAUUUUUCUCUCAAUGAUAAAAUUUCCCAAUAAUCUUUGUGAAAUUUAGCAGAGUUUGAAAACACACAUGGAAAUAUGAAAUCCUAAGCCCUGCUUCUCAAGGAAAACGUUGAAAGGCAUAGUAAAUGUGAAAGCAUUCCUACCAUGCCCCUGCCUGAACUCCCAAUAAUGAAGCAGCAAAAGCCACUUGCAGUGCAGCAUGACUCAGAGACUGGAACCACUCUGGGGAUAUGGGAGAAUCAAGAGCAUAGAGAAGAGACAAGCUUGCCUUGGGGAUGAGAGAGUUACUGAAUUUAAUGUCACAGGUCAAUCCAUGGGACAGGUUACUGGGGGAAAUGAUCAACAAGUCUCUGAGUACAGCAUGCGGCCCCUGUCCUGUGUGUAGGACCCAUGGCAUCUGCCAAGUAUACAGUCAAUCAAUCUCUUCCUGGAUUUUAUCUGGUCAUAUACAAUGAGAAAUGAUGGAAUAGCAGAAAAUUAUCAUGUUUGUCAUAACAUUGCAGGCUCACACAGUGCAUGACCAAGUUGCCCUAGUUUUAUAGAUGCCGAUUUUGAAGAUCACCUGCAGAGUAAAUUAGAAUAUAUAGAUUGCUAAAAUAUGGGUUCCCACCACUCUCAUACUACAUACCUUCUUUUUGUGUAUAAGUGUGCACACAUUUGUGUUCAUGUGUGUGUGUGUGUGUGUGUGUGUGUGUGUGUGUGUGUGUGUGUGUGUGUGCGCGCGCGCGUGCGUGCAUGUACCUUUAUUCAUAUGUGUGUGCACAUGUGUAUGCUGUAUGUGUAGACAGUAUGAAAAUCCCAUAUUUUUUCUUUAGGAGUCAUUCCCUUUAUUUCCUCACAGGGUCUCAGGGCCUCCUGUUGACUGUUUAGGAAGACCCUCUGCCCAGUGUGCCCCUCACUUCUGCUGUCUGCUGCUCUCGAAUGCUGAGAUUACAAGCAUGUGUUACCACAUCGGGUAUUUUCACAUGGGUUCAGGAAAAAGUGAUGUUUUUCACAUUAAUUCAGUACUACACAGGACAUAAAGAACAUGUCUCAGCAGC